This 253-nucleotide ribosomal RNA is filed under the name uncultured bacterium. RNAcentral describes it as "partial 16S ribosomal RNA". It matches the Rfam family "Bacterial small subunit ribosomal RNA", at positions 524 to 776 of the family's 1533-position model. The record is from RNAcentral.
UACAGAGGGUGCGAGCGUUAAUCGGAAUUACUGGGCGUAAAGGGCGCGUAGGUGGUUUAUUAGGAUGGAUGUGAAAUCCCUGGGCUUAACCUAGGAACUGCAUCGAUGACUGAUAAGCUAGAGUACUGUAGAGGGUAGUGGAAUUUCCGGUGUAGCGGUGAAAUGCGUAGAGAUCGGAAGGAACACCGGUGGCGAAGGCGGCUACCUGGACAGCUACUGACACUGAGGCGCGAGAGCGUGGGGAGCAAACAGG